Molecule: ribosomal RNA, 800 nt
Filed under: uncultured bacterium
Lineage: Bacteria
Description: bacterial SSU rRNA
Rfam family: Bacterial small subunit ribosomal RNA
Source: RNAcentral
AGAGUUUGAUCAUGGCUCAGAAUGAACGUUGGCGGUGUGGAUUAGGCAUGCAAGUCGUGCGCGAAACGUAGCAAUACGUGGAGAGCGGCGAAAGGGAGAGUAAUACAUAGGUACGUACCCCCGGGUCUGGGAUAGCGGCGGGAAACUGCCGGUAAUACCAGAUAACGUCUCCGGACCAAAGGUGUGAUUCCACCUGGGGAGCGGCCUGUGGCCUAUCAGCUUGUUGGUGGGGUAAUGGCCUACCAAGGCAAAGACGGGUAUGGGGCGUGAGAGCGUGCCCCCACUCACUGGGACUGAGAUACUGCCCAGACACCUACGGGCGGCUGCAGUCGAGAAUCUUCGGCAAUGGGCGCAAGCCUGACCGAGCGACACCGCGUGCGGGAUGAAGGCCUUCGGGUUGUAAACCGCUGUCGUAGGGGAGGAAGGGUCCGUGAAGAACGGAACUUGACCGAUCCUAGGAGGAAGGGCCGGCUAAUCUCGUGCCAGCAGCCGCGGUAAUACGAGAGGCCCAAACGUUAUUCGGAUUUACUGGGCUUAAAGAGUUCGUAGGCGGCUUGGAAAGUGGGGUGUGAAAGCCCUCGGCUCAACCGAGGAAUUGCGCUCCAAACUACCGAGCUUGAGUAGGCUAGAGGUGAGCAGAACUGAUGGUGGAGCGGUGAAAUGCGUUGAUAUCAUCAGGAAUACCGGAGGCGAAGGCGGCUCACUGGGACCUAACUGACGCUGAGGAACGAAAGCUAGGGGAGCAAACGGGAUUAGAUACCCCUGUAGUCCUAGCCGUAAACGGUGCGCACUGGGUCUUG